GCAGUAGUGAAAGGUUGUUUACCCCAAGUUUAAUGAUUUUGUUAUUGAGUAGCCUGUACCGGGACGGGGUAAAGACAAAGACAGCUGAGUAUGAGAUGAUGUAAUGAGAUGGUAUACAUGAAGGAAUGUAACUGCUAGAAGCGGCUUCGCCAUUAGAGAAGAUGUAGGGUGCUUAAUAAACGCUUGCUGUAAUUAGUAACUUCUGGCGUGUCGGGCGCUCGGUGAGGAGGAGAGCAGCUGGAGGGAGCUGCUUUGGAGACUUCCCAAGUACCUGGAGGAUGGACCAAGACCUCAGGGAGGUGAUGUUAUGACUUGCAAGUGAACUGGAUUUAAAUGAAGGGAAGAAGAGAGAAGGGAAAAGAGGGAGACAAAGUUGGAACACAAAGUUUUGCAAAGUUGAAAGGAAGGAAGGAAGAAAGAAAGAAAGAGAAAAAGGAAGAAAGAAAGAGAAAAAGAAAGAAAGAAAGAAAGAAAGAAAGAAAGAAAGAAAGAAAGAAAGAAAGAGAAAGAAAGAAAGAGAAAAAGGAAGAAAAAGAGAAAAGAAAAGAAAGAAAAAAGAAAAGAAAAUCAGUGGCAGCUGACUGAAGAAUAGACUGGACUAGAACAGGGAGAAAGACUUGAGGUAGUGCAGUGGAUAGAGUGCUGGGCCUGGAAUCAAGAAGACAUAAACAUAAAUUCAGCCUCACAAUCCCACUUGUGUGAUUUUGGAUAACAGAAAACUACUGGAGUUUCUUGACUUGGAAGGUUGAGAGUUGGAGGGAUUACAUGGUCAGACCAGUAUUUCAAGAUCAGUUGGACAGCUGAAUGGAGGAUGCACCGGAGGGGAAAACAGGCCAACCAGAAGAUGAGGAAACUUUGGCUGAUUGAAGCUGACACUGACUUAGCAGAGUCACAGAGCUUUGAAGGGCAGCGAGGUGGUGCAGUGGAUAGAGUACCACCCCUGAAGUCAGAAGGCCCUGAGUUCAAAUGUGGCUUCAGACACUUAACAAGUCAGAAGGACCUAAGUUCAAAUCUGGCCUCAGACACUUAACAAUUCCUAGCUGUGUUACUCUGGGUUCUCACUCACACACAGUAUUGCCUUUAAAAUGCAAAUCAAAGCCUGGACAUGAGUUCUCCAAGUAAAGUUGGAAGAGAUCUCUGAAAUCUUCUAGUGCAACCCCUACAGAAAAGGAAACUGAGGACCCAAGAGAUUUUGCCUUGCCCAAAGUCCUCUAAACAACUUCAUAGCAUCAUAGAUUUAGAGAUAGAAGGAAUUGUAGAGGACAUCAUUUUCUACAUGAGGAAACUAGGGCUUUGAAAGAUUAUUUCAUUUGACCAAGGUGACAAAGGCAGUGGAUAGAACAUCCAAGCUGAGCUGUGGAAUAUUCUGGCUUCAAGAGAGAAGCCCAGAGAAACUUCAAUGAUCCCAAUGAAGAAGCUGAAUCACAGACUGAACUGUAAGUAGUGAUGCUGGUGCCUCGGGCAAUUAAGUUGAGGGUAGAGGAGAAUCCUGUACAUUGCCCUCUGGUGGGAAAGGAAGAUCAGAGACCGUUAGUCCAAGAGGUUACUUCAGGGAAAGUCUGGUGUGGGGAGCAGAGUGGGGUGGAACUCAUCAUCCUGGAGUAUUGCCACUAGGAAGGAAGUGCUCCAUCUGGCAAUUUCUUAUUUUAAUUAGUUGUUCUUGCUAACUAGACGCUGGGCUUGAUUGUUCCUACAACUGUGAGUAUUGUCUGUACCUUCUAAAUUUCAGUAACCUUAGGCAAAGUCUGGGUCACUCUACCCUAGUUAUAUUUGUAAAGGGUCUAAGUCAUUUGUCCAAGGUCAUAAUCUGUAAGUGUUGGCAAGAUCCAGGUCUAAGGCUUUCUUGAUGCUAUACUCUAUUGCCUUGGUAUAACAUUUAUUAAAUCAGCUGAUUUAAAAUGGAAGUUUUCAUAAUCUAAUGGUUCAUGGUACUCGAUCAGUCCCUCCAGAAGAGAUGGGGACCCUCAAUGAACAAAUAAUAUGCAACUGACUCUGGGCUCUUUUCUGCUACUGAUGUAACAACAACAAGUUUGAUAUUCACUUUAACAUAAGCAAAGGUCAUCCAAACACAGGAAGACAACCAGCCCCAUCCCUUUUCCCUUUCCCCCCUCCCCUUCCUCUCUUUAGUUCUCCUAUCCCCAGAGGGUGGACCCUGCCUUUCCCAAAGGUUUAUUCUCAGAACUCUGGUCUCCCAUAGUCGAACGUGCCACAGAUAUGGGAAUAAAGCUUUCUAGUCAACAGGGAAAACCAAAAAUACAAGCUCAGAUCUUUAAUAAAUUCCUCUUCUCUUUUCCUGACCCAGUUCUUUCUGUCUUUCUGCCAGUCUUGUGGCAGAAAGUCUGCUGUUACUGCAAUUGCUGUUCCAAAUAAAAGUCAAUCCUUCCUGGGAGGAGCCUGAAGGAAGUGGAUUAGAUCUGUCAGCAGACUCUGCACCCAAAAUCUGUAAACGGUUUUUGAGGUUCUCUACAUUUUCUGCCAUCCAUUUGAUCCCAACUGAGACUUCCCCACCCUCAUUCCCCAAAGGCUGGAAAACAGGUUCAUUCAAAAGCCCCAACACGGGGAAUCCCACACAUUGAUAAUGCUAUUGGUUAAUGAGCCAAUUGAAACCUGUAGAAGUGAAUUUUCAAGAAGGAAAUAAAAAUGUUAAAUCCCUGCUAAGAAAAUUAUUGGUAUUUCAUUUCAUUUCAGGAAACCCCAGCAUCUAUAAAUAGAAAGGAAAUACUCAUACUCUUCCCCAUCAUUCUAACCAUAAUAGUGGUAGGAGC
This 2765-nucleotide long non-coding RNA is filed under the name Sarcophilus harrisii (Tasmanian devil). RNAcentral describes it as "lncRNA (ENSSHAG00000028140.1)". The record is from RNAcentral. Lineage: Eukaryota; Metazoa; Chordata; Mammalia; Dasyuromorphia; Dasyuridae.